UUUUUUUUUUUUUUUUUUUUGAGACAGGGCUUUGCUCUGUUACCCGUGUUGCCCAGGCUGCAGUGCAGUGGCACAACCAUAGCUCACUGCAGCCUCGACCUCCUGGGCUCAAGGGAUACUCCUGUUUUAGCCUGUAGCUGGGACUACAGGCACAUGACACAGGUAAUUUUUUAAUAUUAAUUUUUGUAGACAUGUGGAGAUGGGAUCUGGCUAUGUUGCCCAGGCUGGUCUUGAACUCCUAGCCUCCAGUGACCCUCCCACCUCAGCCUCCCAAAGUGCUGGAAUUAUAGGUAUGAGCCUCCACCCCCAAUCCCCAGUGUCCCUUUUCAGCCUAAUUCAGAGAUAUAAACCCUUUCCUGAAUUUCAAUACCCUAAAAUAAGAAAUUUUGAUCUUAUAACCUUCUUAGUAAGAAAACCAGUACACAACAAGGAUUUAAACCAGAGAGAAUAGAGAACCAGCAUCUAUAGAGCCUCUGUGUUAUGCAUUUGAAAAACAUCAUUUAAUCUCCGUAACUCCCUGCACAGUAAGUAUUUUUAUCCUCUUUUGCAGACUAGAAACAGAGGCUCAGAGAAGUUCUAUGACAGCUAGCAAGGAGUGGAGGUAAGCUUUGGGCUGUCAGGCCACGCUUGCCCAAAGUUACACAGCUAGCGGAUGGCAGAGCCAGAAAACGAGAAGGAUCCACAGUCAGAAGCGUGUACUCUCUCCCCACUACUGGAUGCCACAGCUUUCCUUGGAGGAGGAGAUGGUGGAGGGCCAGCCAGCAGGGUUCGAGUCCAUGGUCCAGGCCUAGAGCUAGCAGUCAUUCAUACACCACUCACCCCUCCGCUGCUUGGCUGGUAAUCACGUAGAGGCCUCCUCAGCCCAGCCUGCAUUUUCUGCUUAGUUUGCAGUUUGCCAGGCAGCUCCUACGGUAAAACAGUGGUCUAGAGGCCUUGCCUCUCCUCGUGAGCCCAGGUUUCCGUGGGAGAUGAAGCUGCAGCCUUAGCUUCCAGCUAUGAGGCAGGACAAUGCACUUUCAAGGGCUGCUGACUCAGGAGCAGCUCCAAGGGUGAGGUCUGGCUGAGGGGCAUGUGUUUGUAUAGGAGCUUGAAGUGCAUAACAGUACUGCUGUGCUAAUACUAGAGGGUUAACAGUAGUCAACAGUCUACACAAUGUAAGGACACAGGGUUCUUACGGACACAAGGAUUGGUCUAGGAAUUCCAGCAAAAUAGCAAAGGCCAGAUGGACAUAAAGAAAAGCUCCCUAGCUGCCAUACUUCUGCAGAACACAUCCAUGAACACAUCCAUGUGGGAUGGGGCCAGUCCUGCGAACAUUCUGCCAACACGCUCUCCUCCCCCAGGUAAAGGCCACAGGGAGGGUUCUCAGGUACAAUCCUCUGCCUCCCAUUUGGGCAUCAGCAAC
RNAcentral lists this long non-coding RNA (1402 nucleotides) under Macaca fascicularis (crab-eating macaque). Its description in RNAcentral is "lncRNA (ENSMFAG00000047464.1)". Lineage: Eukaryota; Metazoa; Chordata; Mammalia; Primates; Cercopithecidae. The record is from RNAcentral.